UUUUGAUUCUUCGUCUUAUUUAAAAUAUUUUUGCGAUCAAUAAUUUUAUUGUUACUAGAUACUAAAUCAUGAAUAGUACUUUAUACGUAACUCAUUUUUAAGUUUUUGUGUAAAUUAUUUAAAUAAGACGAAUAAUCAAAG
This 141-nucleotide microRNA precursor is filed under the name Oryza brachyantha (malo sina). Its description in RNAcentral is "MIR812 microRNA precursor family". It matches the Rfam family "MIR812 microRNA precursor family", at positions 32 to 174 of the family's 205-position model. Lineage: Eukaryota; Viridiplantae; Streptophyta; Magnoliopsida; Poales; Poaceae. The record is from Rfam by way of RNAcentral.